GGAGGGAUAAGUUAAUGUUUAAACUGUGUGGUUCAUGUUCACGUAAUACGGAUAUCGUUUCCUCCU
This 66-nucleotide transfer RNA is filed under the name Hypoderaeum conoideum. RNAcentral's name for it is "tRNA-Met". The record is from RNAcentral. Lineage: Eukaryota; Metazoa; Platyhelminthes; Trematoda; Plagiorchiida; Echinostomatidae. RNAcentral also lists the same sequence under 1 other name.